This 746-nucleotide long non-coding RNA is filed under the name Homo sapiens (human). RNAcentral's name for it is "non-protein coding lnc-GGT6-2:2". The record is from RNAcentral. Lineage: Eukaryota; Metazoa; Chordata; Mammalia; Primates; Hominidae.
CCCACAGGCCUGCCUGCUGCUCCAGAAGACCCUGUCCAUGCGGGAGGUGAGGUCGUGCUUUGAGGACCCCGAGUGGAAGCAGCUGAUGGGCCAGGUCCUAGCAAAGGUCACCGAGAACUUGCGCGUGCUGGGGGAGGCGCAGACCAAGGCGCAGCAUCAGCAGGCACUGUCCUCCCUGGAGCUGCUCAACGUUCUCUUCAGGACCUGCAAACAUGAGGCGCCCCAAGUUGGAGAAGAAGGAUGCCAAGGAGAUCCCCAGUGCCACCCAGAGCCCCAUCAGUAAGAAGCGGAAGAAAAAGGGAUUCUUGCCAGAGACGAAGAAGCGCAAGAAACGCAAGUCAGAGGAUGGCACGCCAGCGGAGGAUGGCACACCUGCAGCCACCGGCGGGAGCCAGCCCCCCAGCAUGGGCAGGAAGAAGAGGAACAGGACAAAGGCUAAGGUCCCAGCCCAGGCAAACGGGACGCCAACCACCAAGAGUCCAGCCCCUGGCGCCCCCACCCGGAGCCCCAGCACCCCUGCCAAAUCCCCAAAACUGCAGAAGAAAAACCAGAAGCCGUCCCAGGUGAAUGGAGCUCCCGGGUCCCCCACGGAACCUGCAGGCCAAAAGCAGCAUCAGAAGGCUCUUCCCAAAAAGGGGGUCUUGGGCAAAUCACCACUGUCCGCGCUGGCACGGAAAAAGGCAAGGCUGUCUUUGGUCAUCAGGAGUCCCAGCCUGCUUCAGAGUGGGGCCAAGAAGAAAGCACAG